AUUGAUUCCCAAAAACACACAUACCCCGCCUAAUUUCUCCCGCGUCCUCACAAUUCCAAUUCCAAACCCAAAACCUAGUCAAACGCUCAAACCCGUCUCUCUCCCUCUCUGUUUUAAGUGAAACAACUUGUACCAACUAUUGCGAAUCAGCCUAACACCACCAGAUCACACAACCAUAUACAACCAUUCGGCUCGUUGACCAACUGAUAAACUACUAUAGCUUAUGCCAUGUCUGACUCAUCGACUUGUGUAUCACUGCUGACUUCCGAUCUACUCUUUGAGAUUAUGAUUCAGGCGCGUCUACUUUAAUCUAAGGGGAUUGCAUGCUUUUAGGACAAGGUAUUAUAUCUUUAUGACAGAGUAAGUUUUGUAUAGCCUUCUUUUUUCGCUUGGUAGUAAGGCACAUCUGGUGAAUCAUUUGCUAGGGUGAGUUUAAUAUGUAGAUCAUCUCCUCAUUGCAAGAAACCAAGGGCAUGCAAUUCGCAGAGUGAAAGUUAGGCUUCAAUUAGCAGUUGCAACAAAGGAUGUUAUCUACAACCUCACUUUUGUCUCCUAAAAUCUUUCCGUUACAUGUUUUUGCUUUGCUAUCCAUUGUAUGUCGAAGCUUAGAACAUAUUGCAAAUUAACUAGGCAUUUUGGUCAUUCCUCCUUACACAGGAACAAAUGAUCAACUACAAACCUCUAGAAGAUGUAAGUGCUUUGGUUAAUCCUUUUAUGAGUGUAAUGAACAAGGAGCAUGGCGACUACCUUCUACUUUAUGGCAAAGGUAUUAUUAAAAAAAGGAUGGUGGUGAGGAAACAUACAUGAUUCUGGGUGUGCUUAUGGAAUUAUUCAAAGCGAGCCUUGAAGUUAAAAAAACAUAGGUUCUUGAAUUGCGAAAAGAAAUUGAGGAGAACCAUUAAAGGAAAAAAAAAAUGAGCUAGAAGCAAUGCAAAAGAGAUUUUAACAUACAACGAACAACUUAGAAGCUACGAUGUGAAGUAUUAUUUGGAAAAGCUACCUAUUCGAGAACUUCCGGAUCUUUGAGAUGAGUAGAAACUUUAUGUUACUUUUAUCAUUGUAAAUGACAACUUCAUUUUGGUUACAUUGUUAUUUUGAGUUUGGACAUGUGUUAAAUUGCGAUAUAAUAGAUAUGUUAUUAGUUUGUUGGUAAAAUUGA
RNAcentral lists this long non-coding RNA (1159 nucleotides) under Helianthus annuus (common sunflower). The record is from RNAcentral. Lineage: Eukaryota; Viridiplantae; Streptophyta; Magnoliopsida; Asterales; Asteraceae.